AGAGCGAACGCUGGCGGCAGGCCUAACACAUGCAAGUCGAGCGCUCCGCAAGGGGAGCGGCAGACGGGAGAGUAACACGUGGGAACGUACCCUUCAGUUCGGAACAACCCAGGGAAACUUGGGCUAAUACCGGAUACGUCCGUAAGGAGAAAGAUUUAUCGCUGAAGGAUCGGCCCGCGUCUGAUUAGCUAGUUGGUGAGGUAACGGCUCACCAAGGCGACGAUCAGUAGCUGGUCUGAGAGGAUGAUCAGCCUCACUGGGACUGAGACACGGCCCAGACUCCUACGGGAGGCAGCAGUGGGGAAUAUUGGACAAUGGGCGCAAGCCUGAUCCAGCCAUGCCGCGUGGGUGAUGAAGGCCCUAGGGUUGUAAAGCCCUUUCGGCGGGGAAGAUAAUGACGGUACCGCAGAAGAAGCCCCGGCUAACUUCGCGCCAGCAGCCGC
This 443-nucleotide ribosomal RNA is filed under the name uncultured bacterium. RNAcentral's name for it is "SSU rRNA". It matches the Rfam family "Bacterial small subunit ribosomal RNA", at positions 26 to 518 of the family's 1533-position model. The record is from RNAcentral.